UAUGCCGCCCCAGACCUUGAAGUGGAAGAGGGAGGGCAGCUAGGCUCGCAAUUCAGCCUGGUGCAGGCGGUCAUUUUGUCGAGGCAAACACUUUCUAAGCGUGCUUAAGGUUUUCCUACACAGAAGCUCUAAUGCUGCGGGUGUCACAAAUAUCAAGAAAAAAUGGGAAGCAGGAGCUGCGCUCUAGAAUACAGCUCUAGUGCUGCAAUGAGAACAGACGGACCUAGGAAAGUGUUAGCAAAUCGAUAGUCCCUAAGACUCUCCCCCUUCCUGCCUUAUUCCUCCCGGUUUAGACAAGGAUUAAAAUCUGUGCCCUUGAAGAUGGCUGAACUAAAAAUGCCCAUACCAGAUGGUCCAGGAGAAAUUAUUUCUUGAUAUCCGAUUUACAAGGACUGGAAAAAAAGUGGGAAAGCUUCAAAGGACUGUAAUUUUUUUUAAUUUAAAAAAAAAUGGCAAGGUGAAAUAAUUCAUAAUAAGGAAAUGAAUGAAAGUGAAAUGUGCAAUCUAAAAAUGUAAUCUGGAUUAUGCAUAAAAAAGUGUCAAUAUUUAAAGAACAAAGAA
This is a long non-coding RNA of Antechinus flavipes (yellow-footed antechinus), 561 nucleotides long. RefSeq lists it as uncharacterized. The transcript is spliced from 3 exons. The record is from RefSeq and is a predicted model, not a curated record. Lineage: Eukaryota; Metazoa; Chordata; Mammalia; Dasyuromorphia; Dasyuridae.